This 403-nucleotide ribosomal RNA is filed under the name Salmonella enterica. RNAcentral describes it as "partial 23S ribosomal RNA". It matches the Rfam family "Bacterial large subunit ribosomal RNA", at positions 2539 to 2925 of the family's 2925-position model. Lineage: Bacteria; Pseudomonadati; Pseudomonadota; Gammaproteobacteria; Enterobacterales; Enterobacteriaceae. The record is from RNAcentral.
AUCACAUCCUGGGGCUGAAGUAGGUCCCAAGGGUAUGGCUGUUCGCCAUUUAAAGUGGUACGCGAGCUGGGUUUAGAACGUCGUGAGACAGUUCGGUCCCUAUCUGCCGUGGGCGCUGGAAGAUUGAGGGGGGCUGCUCCUAGUACGAGAGGACCGGAGUGGACGCAUCACUGGUGUUCGGGUUGUCAUGCCAAUGGCACUGCCCGGUAGCUACAUGCGGAAGAGAUAAGUGCUGAAAGCAUCUAAGCACGAAACUUGCCCCGAGAUGAAUCUUCCCUGAGCCUUUAAGGCUCCUGAAGGAACGUUGAAGACGACGACGUUGAUAGGCCGGGUGUGUAAGCGCAGCGAUGCGUUGAGCUAACCGGUACUAAUGAACCGUGAGGCUUAACCUUACAACGCCGAA